UACGGAGGAUCCGAGUGUUAUCCGGAAUUAUUGGGUUUAAAGGGUGCGUAGGCGGCUUUUUUAAGUCAGCGGUGAAAUUUUGCAGCUUAACUGUAACAGUGCCGUUGAUACUGGGGAGCUAGGAUUUGGUUGCUGUGGGUGGAAUGUGUGGUGUAGCGGUGAAAUGCUUAGAGAUCACACAGAAUAUCGAUUGCGAAGGCAGCUCACAAAGCCAAGAUUGACGCUGAGGCACGAAAGUGUGGGGAUCAAACAGGAUUAGAUA
RNAcentral lists this ribosomal RNA (262 nucleotides) under uncultured prokaryote. Its description in RNAcentral is "partial 16S ribosomal RNA". It matches the Rfam family "Bacterial small subunit ribosomal RNA", at positions 524 to 784 of the family's 1533-position model. The record is from RNAcentral.